Molecule: non-coding RNA, 246 nt
Filed under: Pseudobacteroides cellulosolvens
Lineage: Bacteria; Bacillati; Bacillota; Clostridia; Eubacteriales; Oscillospiraceae
Description: T-box sequence
Rfam family: T-box leader
About the family: Uncharged tRNA acts as the effector for transcription antitermination of genes in the T-box leader family. T-boxes are found upstream of many aminoacyl-tRNA synthetase genes and some amino acid biosynthetic genes usually in Gram-positive bacteria.
Source: RNAcentral
UUAAUUGCGAUGAAGGAUACAAGAUACAUUUGAUUGUAAAAGAGAGUCGGUGGUUGGUGUGAACCGAUACAUGAGGUGUAUGUAUAGCUCGGUCCAGAGUAUUGCUACUGAAAUCUUAAGUAAGAUGCAACGUUGACCACGUUAUAGUCAGAGUAUUUGAUAAUACUCACUAAGGAUAUGUCUUAAUGUUGCGGCAUAUCGAAUUAGGGUGGUACCACGUAAGAGUUUAGACCUUUCGUCCCUGCA